UGGGGAAUCUUGCGCAAUGGACGAAAGUCUGACGCAGCCAUGCCGCGUGAGUGAUGAAGGCCCUCGGGUCGUAAAGCUCUGUCCAAGGGGACGAAAAAGGUGUUGGUGAACAUCCAGCAUUUCUGACGGUACCCUUGAAGAAAGCACCGGCUAACUCCGUGCCAGCAGCCGCGGUAAUACGGAGGGUGCAAGCGUUGUUCGGAAUUACUGGGCGUAAAGCGCGCGCAGGCGGCAUUAUAAGUCGGGUGUG
Molecule: ribosomal RNA, 250 nt
Filed under: uncultured bacterium
Lineage: Bacteria
Description: partial 16S ribosomal RNA
Rfam family: Bacterial small subunit ribosomal RNA
Source: RNAcentral